AUUGAACGCUGGCGGCAUGCCUUACACAUGCAAGUCGAACGGUAACGGGUCCUUCGGGAUGCCGACGAGUGGCGAACGGGUGAGUAAUAUAUCGGACCGUGCCCAGUAGUGGGGGAUAACUGCUCGAAAGAGCAGCUAAUACCGCAUACGACCUGAGGGUGAAAGGGGGGGAUCGCAAGACCUCUCGCUAUUGGAGCGGCCGAUAUCAGAUUAGCUAGUUGGUGGGGCAAAGGCCAACCAAGGCAACGAUCUGUAGUUGGUCUGAGAGGACGACAAGCCACACUGGGGCUGUGACACGGCCCAGACUCCUACGGGAGGCAGCAGUGGGGAAUUUUGGACAAUGGGCGCAAGCCUGAUCCAGCAAUGCCGCGUGCAGGAAGAAGGCCUUCGGGUUGUAAACUGCUUUUGUCAGGGAAGAAAUCUUCUGGGCUAAUACCCCGGGAGGAUGACGGUACCUGAAGAAUAAGCACCGGCUAACUACGUGCCAGCCGCCGCUGUAA
RNAcentral lists this ribosomal RNA (500 nucleotides) under uncultured bacterium. RNAcentral's name for it is "partial 16S ribosomal RNA". It matches the Rfam family "Bacterial small subunit ribosomal RNA", at positions 30 to 523 of the family's 1533-position model. The record is from RNAcentral.